Molecule: ribosomal RNA, 491 nt
Filed under: uncultured bacterium
Lineage: Bacteria
Description: partial 16S ribosomal RNA
Rfam family: Bacterial small subunit ribosomal RNA
Source: RNAcentral
AGUGAACGCUGGCGGUAGGCCUAACACAUGCAAGUCGAACGGCAGCACGGUAAGAGCUUGCUCUUACGGGUGGCGAGUGGCGGACGGGUGAGGAAUACAUCGGAAUCUACUUUUUCGUGGGGGAUAACGUAGGGAAACUUACGCUAAUACCGCAUACGACCUACGGGUGAAAGCAGGGGAUCUUCGGACCUUGCGCGAUUGAAUGAGCCGAUGUCGGAUUAGCUAGUUGGCGGGGUAAAGGCCCACCAAGGCGACGAUCCGUAGCUGGUCUGAGAGGAUGAUCGGCCAACUUGAAACGGGAAACGGGUCCGAACUCCUACGGGAGGCAGCAGUGGGGAAUAUUGAACAAGGGGCGAAAGCCUGAUCCAGCCUUACCGCGUGGGUGAAGAAGGCCUUCGGGUGGUAAAGCCCUUUUGUUGGAAAAAAAAAGCAGCAGGUUAAAACCCCGCUGUUCGGACGGUACCCAAAGAUAAAGCACCGGCUAAUUUGGU